Strongyloides papillosus is the source of this 46-nucleotide non-coding RNA. The record is from Rfam. Lineage: Eukaryota; Metazoa; Nematoda; Chromadorea; Rhabditida; Strongyloididae.
CCAACGGCCCUCUUUAGGGCCAAUUAAUUUUAUACCUAGAUUAUUU